This 267-nucleotide ribosomal RNA is filed under the name uncultured bacterium. RNAcentral's name for it is "partial 16S ribosomal RNA". It matches the Rfam family "Bacterial small subunit ribosomal RNA", at positions 88 to 354 of the family's 1533-position model. The record is from RNAcentral.
AUGGCGACCGGCGCACGGGUGAGUAACGCGUAUCCAACCUGCCCUUUACUAUGGGACAGCCCGUCGAAAGGCGGAUUAAUACCGUAUGUUGUCAUGUUGAUGCAUAUUUUCAUGACCAAAGGCUUCGGCCGGUAAAGGAUGGGGAUGCGUCUGAUAGCUUGCCGGCGGGGUAACGGCCCACCGGGGCGACGAUCAGUAGGGGUUCUGAGAGGAAGGUCCCCCACAUUGGAACUGAGACACGGUCCAAACUCCUACGGAAGGCAGCAG